CCUACGGGAGGCAGCAGUGGGGAAUAUUGGACAAUGGGCGAAAGCCUGAUCCAGCAAUGCCGCGUGUGUGACGAAGGCCUUAGGGUUGUAAAGCACUUUCACCCGCGAGGAUGAUGACGGUAGCGGGAGAAGAAGCCCCGGCUAACUCCGUGCCAGCAGCCGCGGUAAUACGGAGGGGGCGAGCGUUGUUCGGAAUUACUGGGCGUAAAGGGCGUGUAGGCGGCCUUGUCAGUCAGGCGUGAAAUCCCCGGGCUCAACCUGGGACGUGCGCUUGAUACUGCAGGGCUUGAGAGCGAGAGAGGUAAGCGGAAUUCCCAGUGUAGAGGUGAAAUUCGUAGAUAUUGGGAGGAACACCAGUGGCGAAGGCGGCUUACUGGCUCGUUUCUGACGCUGAGGCGCGAAAGCGUGGGGAGCGAACAGGAUUAGAUACCCUGGUAGUCCACGCCGUAAACGAUGUGUGCCAGACNUCGGGGGUUAGGCCUUCGGUGUCGCAGCUAACGCAUUAAGCACACCGCCUGGGGAGUACGGCCNCAAGGUUAAAACUCAAAUGAAUUGACGG
Molecule: ribosomal RNA, 559 nt
Filed under: uncultured bacterium
Lineage: Bacteria
Description: bacterial SSU rRNA
Rfam family: Bacterial small subunit ribosomal RNA
Source: RNAcentral